Molecule: non-coding RNA, 375 nt
Organism: Pelobates cultripes (western spadefoot toad)
Lineage: Eukaryota; Metazoa; Chordata; Amphibia; Anura; Pelobatidae
Source: the annotation of a GenBank genome assembly
GUCAGUUGAUUCAUACAGAUAACCAAAUUAGUGAAUACAUUUAACAAUUUCUAACUCGCACAUUUAAGAAAGGACAAUGUGCGAUAAGAGCCAGUCUCCAGGACCAAUAGAGCUAGUAGCAAUUUAAACUCACAUACUAUAACCAUCCCAAUGACCAUCUAUAAGGAACUUGGCUUUGAGCCUCAAGUUACCACCAAUCUGUACAAACAUGUUAAAGCCCUCUCUUUUGCCACAUUCACAACCCAAUAUUUAAACCAAAAAUUCAGCUCUACAAAUAAAUAUUUUAAGCAAUGACAAUUCUGUUAAGUGAGCAUUUUUGUGAUUUCAACAUUACAAGAGGGAAGUUAGUUUGUUCGGAUGACGCUUUUGUUUCAC